GCGCACCAGGAGGCGGGGCAAGGAGCGGCUUCCCAGGCUCUGCCUCUCCGCGACGCUACUCGGGAUUGGAGCUUAAGGACCUUUACAGUUCGGGUCCUCCGGCUGGUGUCUGGGUUCAGGAUGGCAUUGGACUCAGAGGACCGCGGGGCUGCCUGCACGCUGGAGUUCGCGGUGCAGAUGACCUGUCAGAGCUGCGUGGACGCGGUGCGCACGUCCCUGAAAGGGAUAGCAGGUGUCCAGAGUGUGGAGGUGCAGUUGGAGAACCAGAUGGUCCUGGUGCAGACCACCCUGCCCAGCCACGAGGUGCAGGCCCUUCUAGAAGGCACUGGACGGCAGGCGGUACUCAAGGGCAUGGGCAGUGGCCUGUUGCAGAAUCUGGGGGCAGCAGUGGCCAUUCUGGAGGGGCCAGGCCCUGUGCAGGGGGUGGUGCGCUUCCUGCAGCUGACCCCUGAGUGCUGCCUCAUCGAGGGGACCAUUGACGGCCUGAAGCCUGGGCUACACGGACUCCAUGUCCAUCAGUUCGGGGAUCUCACAAGGAACUGCAACAGCUGUGGGGACCACUUUAACCCUGAUGGAAUGUCUCACGGGGGCCCCCAGGACUCUGACCGGCACCGUGGAGACCUGGGGAACGUCCAGGCGGAUGCUGAUGGCCGAGCUGUCUUCAGAAUAGAGGAUGAGAAGCUGAAGGUGUGGGAUGUGAUUGGCCGAAGCCUGGUCAUUGAUGAGGGAGAAGACGACCUGGGCCGGGGCGGCCACCCCCUAUCCAAAGUCACAGGGAACUCUGGAGAGAGGUUGGCCUGUGGCAUCAUCGCUCGCUCCUCCGGCCUUUUCCAGAACCCCAAGCAGAUCUGCUCCUGCGACGGCCUCACCAUCUGGGAGGAGCGAGGCCGGCCCAUCGCAGGCAAAGGCCGAAAGGAGCCCACCCAGCCCCCCGCCCACCUCUGAGCACAGCCUCAGCCUGGGGUCUGUCACCGUCCUCCCUGCUGAGUGCCGUCCACUCCAGAGGGAGGCCCUGCUCGCCCAGCCCUAGAAGAACUAGCAAGCAGGGGACUGAAUAUCAGAAAAGCCGAUCUGCUGAGGAGGAGGAGUGAGGCAGAUGCACAAGGAGAACCUAAGAGUCACUGGAGGAGGCCAGACGCUCCAGAGUCCACACUCAGCCUU
RNA transcript from Camelus dromedarius (Arabian camel), 1161 nucleotides. It is a transcript of the gene named copper chaperone for superoxide dismutase, with no coding region annotated. NCBI's taxonomy places the organism in Eukaryota, Metazoa, Chordata, Mammalia, Artiodactyla, Camelidae. The record is from RefSeq and is a predicted model, not a curated record. The transcript has 9 exons.